GGAAGUUGCAAAUGAAUGGUACAGGGAAUAAGUUGAGACCAACUGUCAAGGCUAAGAGGUUUGGAUGGAAGGGUUUAGUAGGUGGAGAAGGAUCUGAACUGAGGAAGAAGAAGGAAGAAAAGAAGAAGAAAUCAUACAAAAAGAGAUUUGGAAGGUUUUGGAAUUGUGAAAGCCAGUGACUGAAAUUUGGGUAGGGGAUAUUUGGAAGAAAAAUGGAAGGCAGAGAAGAUCUUGAAAAGGUGACUGAGGAGAAAAGCUUGAAGAGGAGUAGGAAAAGAAGAAAGAGUUGUUAGAAUUGUUGAUAAGGAAGGAGAUAUUUCUGUAGUAGAAGAGAUUGGAGAGGAGGAAGGACUUGACAUGGAUAAGAAAAAGAAGGACGUUGUGAAUGACCUUUGGACUGGAAGGACCAGAAUGAAAAUAGCUAAUAGGAAGGUGAUACCCAAGAUAAGUAAGGAGACAAGAAAAAAUCAUCCAACUGCCCUUGAUGAAUUCAGGAUGCCAGGAAAAGGUGAGCUCUCUACAUCCUCAGGGACAGAAAGAACCUGCAACUU
RNAcentral lists this long non-coding RNA (551 nucleotides) under Monodelphis domestica (gray short-tailed opossum). RNAcentral's name for it is "lncRNA (ENSMODG00000031081.1)". The record is from RNAcentral. Lineage: Eukaryota; Metazoa; Chordata; Mammalia; Didelphimorphia; Didelphidae.